CAUCCUGAGACACGUUUAUGACCUGCUGAGCAUCUUCAGUCCCUGUGGCUUCAGUCAUAGCCAAAGGUGUUGGGGAUGACUGAGACCAUACUGGUCCACCUGAAAAACACUAAAAAUUCUUCUUUCGCCAUGAAGGAACUGAUGGGAUUAACCUCACCUACAAAACCAUCUGAUUUAUCUGAGAACACAUUUCAGGAGAGCCCAACCAGUCUGUUCAUUAUGGAUUUACCUCCCUUUGACAGCAACAGCACAGCUUGCCAGGCAAAACAACCUUCAAAGGAGCUUGGGACAAGGAGAAAUCAGGAGCAUCUGACUGGCCUGGGAAAACAGCUCAGGGAUCUCGUGAGUAAUGUACUUUUUGCCGGAAAAAGUGAACUGGCCAUAGUAAGUGCAGUUCAAUUCUUCAACUUUGGCACCAUUUCCCCACUCCAAGGCCCAGCUCUGAGCCCCACAGUGACAUCACUGAGCAGAACUGCGGACGUUUUUCAGGCCAUUUUAUUUUCACUUCAGAAGUAAGAGUUUGAUUCAUUUGCAGGGAAUGGAAAUACCACAAUUAUACAACUACCUAGUGAUUUAAAAAUUAAGCUUUUCAAACGCGAAGGCAUUAUACCAAUGACAUGCAUUUAAUCCCACAUGGAAAGAGGCCUCCCCAGAGGCUUUUUAAACCACAUUAGCACCACUCACUGUAGCAUGUGCUUUGCUUUAUGACAGGGCCACAUCUCCCAUUCAGGAGAAGACUCUGAUUGCCCAUGAGUUGUAACCAGCACCAUUUAGAAAUGAAACUAUGUGCUUAAGUGGUGCAGAGGCUGAUCAGCCACCAAAGUUGAACUUUAGAUUUAUUUUUCCACAAACAUCUGUCCUAGUUAGAACAGCUGGGACCAGUUCAUCACUGGACGGGAGUAACCCAAAACUGUGUAUUCCAUAGCCUUCCAUGCCAUUGCCCAGAAACUGUUAUCACUGAACCAUUUACACCCUCUGCCCAUACAGCCUGACUCCUCAGGCUGUAAACUGGGUGUUCAGAGGCCUGUGAGAUAUGAGGAUGCUCCUGUGCUCACACCCAGUGUGGAACUCCCCGCCCUGAGGGAGGGACUGGGCAUUCCUGCCUGAACUGGAGGAUAGAUAAUCUUGGAGUCUUGGGACUUUUUUAACCACUCGUGGGAUCCAGAGGAAGACUGCAGACCACCACUCUUGACCAGACUGCACCACCACUUUCACCAACAGGUUUUUUUUCCCCUCUUCCUUUACUUUGGACUCAGGGGGCCCAACCAACACCACUCUGUUCAUGCCCCAGGGUGCUGGGUUAUACAUUUGGGGUUUGUGGGUUAAAACCAACUGUUUGUCUGUA
Pseudopipra pipra is the source of this 1345-nucleotide long non-coding RNA. RefSeq lists it as uncharacterized. Lineage: Eukaryota; Metazoa; Chordata; Aves; Passeriformes; Pipridae. The record is from RefSeq and is a predicted model, not a curated record. The transcript has 3 exons.